GUGUGUCCGUGCUCUUCUCUUGUGUGGAUUAUCUGCUGUGCUCCUUCCUACUCAUCCGGACACACUCCCCUGGUUUUCUCAGCACGUUAUCAUCGGAAGAUGCGCCCGAGUCCCUGGGUCGGAUUCCGUCUGAGUACAGUCUGUCUGUCCUGUUGCUGCUGUGAACUAUAUUCAUUAAACCAUCGUUGCUUGCAUCUUGCAUCCGCCUCUGUAUUGUUACAGAACGAUCUGACCAGACCAUGGAUGCAGCGAGUUCAACGAGUCUGACCGAAUUCAUUUCCCGCAGUAUCACGAGAAUGGAUCAACAAGAGGAGAACAUCUCCAGCACAGGUCGGGCAGUACAAGCCCUUGCGACGCAGGUAUCCCAGCUGACCCAACAAUUGCAACAUCUGAGGGGUUCCGCUGCGCCACCUACACCGGCAGUUCAACCCGCCCCGCCAGAGCCGGAUUCCCAGCUAGAGCCACGGCUACCGACACCAGAGGGUUAUUCAGGCACGCAUUAACCCGCCGGUCACGGUUCCCCCGCCACCACGACUUGUUGAUGGGGAAACCACCUUUUCUGUCAAUCGUAUUUUGGACUCUAGAAGGAGGGGACGCGGAUUCCAGUACCUGGUGGACUGGGAGAGUUACGGCCCGGAGGAGAGAAGUUGGGUGCCUGCUAGGGACAUUCUGGAUCACUCCCUUAUCGAUGAUUUCAAUCGACAGAUCGUUGUUUCUUCCCUGAGGUUGUGUCGUGUGUCCGUGCUCUUCUCUUGUGUGGAUUAUCUGCUGUGCUCCUUCCUACUCAUCCGGACACACUCCCCUGGUUUUCUCAGCACGUUAUCAUCGGGAGAUGCGCCCGAGUCCCUGGGUCGGAUUCCGUCUGAGUACACUCUGUCCUGUUGCUGCUGUGAACUAUAUUCAUUAAACCAUCGUUGCUUGCAACUUGCAUCCGCCUCUGUAUUGUUACAGAUGGGGGGCAAUCAGUUCACAUAUGGUGUCCAAAGCACAGCUGGGGGCAGAGGGUGGUCUAUAGCAGGCUGCAACAGUGAGAGACUUGUUUUUAGAGAGGUGGAUUUUUAAAAGUAGAAGUUCAAAUUGUUUGGGUACAGACCUGGUUAGUAGGACAGAACUCUGCAGGCUAUCUUUGCAGUAGAUUGCAACACCGCCCCCUUUGGCAGUUCUAUCUUGUCUGAAAAUGUUGUAGUUUGGAACUAAAAUUUCAGAAUGUUUGGUAGUCUUCCUAAGCCAGGAUUCAGACACAGCUAGAACAUCCGGGUUGGCAGAGUGUGCUAAAGCAGUGAAUAGAACAAACUUAGGGAGGAUGCUUCUAAUGUUAACAUGCAUGAAACCAAGGCUAUUACGGUUACAGAAGUCGUCAAAAGAGAGCGCCUGGAGAAUAGGAGUGGAGCUAGGCGGGGCUCCGCGUAGGCAGUAAAACGGCUCCGGAUAGGUGACUGCAGCCCAGGAGUGAUUGAUGGAACUCUUCAGCUGGCUAGCUCCGGAAUAAUUGAUGUUUGCUCCGGAAUCGACGAAAGCUUUAACUAGCUUCUGACCUAGUUUCUGAUUAGCUUCUGGAUUAGCUUCUGGCUAGUUUCUGACCUAGCUUCUGAUUAGCUUCUGGAUUAGCUUCUGGCUAACUUCAUGGAGGAUUACAGAUUUGAGGUAAAUAAUACUUUUUUAUAAAUAUAAAUUGGUGAGGCGGGU
Long non-coding RNA from Oncorhynchus masou masou (cherry salmon), 1686 nucleotides. RefSeq lists it as uncharacterized. The transcript has 3 exons. Lineage: Eukaryota; Metazoa; Chordata; Actinopteri; Salmoniformes; Salmonidae. The record is from RefSeq and is a predicted model, not a curated record.